AGGAUGAGACUGCGUCUGAUUAGGUAGUUGGUGGGGUAACGGCCCACCAAGCCCAUCAUCAGUACGGGUUGUGGGAGCAAGAUCCCGGAGAUGGAUUCUGAGACAUGAAUCCAGGCCCUACGGGGCGCAGCAGGCGCGCAAACUUUACAAUGCGAGCAAUCGUGAUAAGGAAACCCUGAGUGCCUGUUGAUGCAGGCUGUUCAUAUAUUUAAAUUGUAUGUGAAGAAAGGGCAGGGCAAGACCGGUGCCAGCCGCCGCGGUAAUACCGGCUGCUCGAGUGAUGGCCACUAUUACUGGGUUUAAAGCGUCCGUAGCUUGAUUUUUAGGUCUCUUGGGAAAUCUUUUGGCUUAACCACAAGGCGUCUAAGAGAUACCGGAAAUCUUGGAACUGGGAGAGGUAAGCCGUACUUCGGGGGUAGGAGUGAAAUCUUGUAAUCCUCGAGGGACGACCUAUGGCGAAGGCAGCUUACCAGAACAGCUUCGACAGUGAGGGACGAAAGCUGGGGGAGCAAACGGGAUUAGAUACCCCGGUAGUCCCAGCCGUAAACAAUGUGCGUUAGGUGUGUCGGUUACCACGCGUAACUGAUGCGCCGAAGAGAAAUCGUGAAACGCACCACCUGGGAAGUACGGUCGCAAGGCUGAAACUUAAAGGAAUUGGCGGGGGAGCACCACAACAGGUGGAGCCUGCGGUUUAAUUGGAU
This 701-nucleotide ribosomal RNA is filed under the name uncultured archaeon. RNAcentral describes it as "bacterial SSU rRNA". It matches the Rfam family "Archaeal small subunit ribosomal RNA", at positions 206 to 911 of the family's 1478-position model. The record is from RNAcentral.